GAUGAACGCUGGCGGCGUGCCUAAUACAUGCAAGUCGAGCGAACGGACGAGAAGCUUGCUUUUCUGAUGUUAGCGGCGGACGGGUGAGUAACACGUGGAUAACCUGCCUAUAAGACUGGGAUAACUUCGGGAAACCGGAGCUAAUACCGGAUAAUAUUUUGAACCGCAUGGUUCAAAAGUGAAAGACGGUCUUGCUGUCACUUAUAGAUGGAUCCGCGCUGCAUUAGCUAGUUGGUAAGGUAACGGCUUACCAAGGCAACGAUGCAUAGCCGACCUGAGAGGGUGAUCGGCCACACUGGAACUGAGACACGGUCCAGACUCCUACGGGAGGCAGCAGUAGGGAAUCUUCCGCAAUGGGCGAAAGCCUGACGGAGCAACGCCGCGUGAGUGAUGAAGGUCUUCGGAUCGUAAAACUCUGUUAUUAGUGAAGAACAUAUGUGUAAGUAGCUGUGCACAUCUUGACGGUACCUAAUCAGAAAGCCACGGCUAACUACGUG
This 497-nucleotide ribosomal RNA is filed under the name uncultured bacterium. Its description in RNAcentral is "partial 16S ribosomal RNA". It matches the Rfam family "Bacterial small subunit ribosomal RNA", at positions 28 to 507 of the family's 1533-position model. The record is from RNAcentral.